This 254-nucleotide ribosomal RNA is filed under the name uncultured bacterium. RNAcentral's name for it is "partial 16S ribosomal RNA". It matches the Rfam family "Bacterial small subunit ribosomal RNA", at positions 524 to 776 of the family's 1533-position model. The record is from RNAcentral.
CACGUAGGGGGCAAGCGUUGUCCGGAUUUAUUGGGCGUAAAGAGCUCGUAGGCGGUUCGGUAAGUCGGGUGUGAAACCUCCAGGCUCAACCUGGAGACGCCACCCGAUACUGCUGUGACUAGAGUCCGGUAGGGGAGCGUGGAAUUCCUGGUGUAGUGGUGAAAUGCGCAGAUAUCAGGAGGAACACCAGCGGCGAAGGCGGCGCUCUGGGCCGGAACUGACGCUGAGGAGCGAAAGCGUGGGGAGCAAACGGG